GGCCGUCCAGUAGCCCGUGUCCAGCCCGAUCUGUGGCAAGCAGUAGUCACAGGCAGGCGGAGCCUGCCCCCGUGCCCCUCCCCGCCCAGGGCAAGCCCCCAGGUGGGAGCGGGGGCGGCUCCCGGGUCCCC
This is a long non-coding RNA of Leopardus geoffroyi (Geoffroy's cat), 131 nucleotides long. RefSeq lists it as uncharacterized. The transcript has 3 exons. The record is from RefSeq and is a predicted model, not a curated record. Lineage: Eukaryota; Metazoa; Chordata; Mammalia; Carnivora; Felidae.